CCUACGGGAGGCAGCAGUGGGGAAUCUUGCACAAUGGAGGAAACUCUGAUGCAGCGAUGCCGCGUGAGUGAAGAAGGCCUUUGGGUUGUAAAGCUCUUUUGUAGGGGAAGAUAAUGACUGUACCCUAAGAAUAAGGUCCGGCUAACUUCGUGCCAGCAGCCGCGGUAAUACGAAGGGACCUAGCGUAGUUCGGAAUUACUGGGCGUAAAGCGCGCGUAGGCCGUUGAGUUAGUUAAUUGUGAAAUCCCAAAGCUUAACUUUGGAACUGCAAUUAAAACUGCUCGACUAGAGUUUGAUAGAGGAAAGCGGAAUACAUAGUGUAGAGGUGAAAUUCGUAGAUAUUAUGUAGAACACCAGUUGCGAAGGCGGCUUUCUGGAUCAACACUGACGCUGAGGCGCGAAAGUAUGGGUAGCAAAGAGGAUUAGAUACCCUCGUAGUCCAUACCAUAAACGAUGAUNUNUANAUGUGUAAUUAUUUACUAUAUCNCANCUACGCAUA
RNAcentral lists this ribosomal RNA (499 nucleotides) under uncultured bacterium. RNAcentral describes it as "bacterial SSU rRNA". It matches the Rfam family "Bacterial small subunit ribosomal RNA", at positions 338 to 855 of the family's 1533-position model. The record is from RNAcentral.